Molecule: ribosomal RNA, 1012 nt
Filed under: Escherichia coli
Lineage: Bacteria; Pseudomonadati; Pseudomonadota; Gammaproteobacteria; Enterobacterales; Enterobacteriaceae
Description: partial 23S ribosomal RNA
Rfam family: Bacterial large subunit ribosomal RNA
Source: RNAcentral
AUUCGACACACUAUCAUUAACUGAAUCCAUAGGUUAAUGAGGCGAACCGGGGGAACUGAAACAUCUAAGUACCCCGAGGAAAAGAAAUCAACCGAGAUUCCCCCAGUAGCGGCGAGCGAACGGGGAGCAGCCCAGAGCCUGAAUCAGUGUGUGUGUUAGUGGAAGCGUCUGGAAAGGCGCGCGAUACAGGGUGACAGCCCCGUACACAAAAAUGCACAUACUGUGAGCUCGAUGAGUAGGGCGGGACACGUGGUAUCCUGUCUGAAUAUGGGGGGACCAUCCUCCAAGGCUAAAUACUCCUGACUGACCGAUAGUGAACCAGUACCGUGAGGGAAAGGCGAAAAGAACCCCGGCGAGGGGAGUGAAAAAGAACCUGAAACCGUGUACGUACAAGCAGUGGGAGCCUCUUUAUGGGGUGACUGCGUACCUUUUGUAUAAUGGGUCAGCGACUUAUAUUCUGUAGCAAGGUUAACCGAAUAGGGGAGCCGAAGGGAAACCGAGUCUUAACUGGGCGUUAAGUUGCAGGGUAUAGACCCGAAACCCGGUGAUCUAGCCAUGGGCAGGUUGAAGGUUGGGUAACACUAACUGGAGGACCGAACCGACUAAUGUUGAAAAAUUAGCGGAUGACUUGUGGCUGGGGGUGAAAGGCCAAUCAAACCGGGAGAUAGCUGGUUCUCCCCGAAAGCUAUUUAGGUAGCGCCUCGUGAAUUCAUCUCCGGGGGUAGAGCACUGUUUCGGCAAGGGGGUCAUCCCGACUUACCAACCCGAUGCAAACUGCGAAUACCGGAGAAUGUUAUCACGGGAGACACACGGCGGGUGCUAACGUCCGUCGUGAAGAGGGAAACAACCCAGACCGCCAGCUAAGGUCCCAAAGUCAUGGUUAAGUGGGAAACGAUGUGGGAAGGCCCAGACAGCCAGGAUGUUGGCUUAGAAGCAGCCAUCAUUUAAAGAAAGCGUAAUAGCUCACUGGUCGAGUCGGCCUGCGCGGAAGAUGUAACGGGGCUAAACCAUG